CUCCUGUCUUCUGUGAAGAUCAAGCCUAUGAACAGAAUGCUUAGGCCCUGACGUAACAGAGGAGGAAGCCCCGGCUAACUACGUGCCAGCAGCCGCGGUAAUACGUAGGGGGCAAGCGUUGUCCGGAAUCACUGGGCGUAAAGCGCGCGCAGGCGGCUGUCUGCGUCCGGGGUGAAAGCCCAGAGCUCAACUGUGGGAUUGCCUUGGAUACGGGAUGGCUUGAGGAUCGGAGAGGCAAGGGGAAUUCCACGUGUAGCGGUGAAAUGCGUAGAGAUGUGGAGGAACACCUGUGGCGAAGGCGCCUUGCUGGCCGAUUUCUGACGCUGAGGCGCGAAAGCGUGGGGAGCAAACAGGAUUAGAUACCCUGGUAGUCCACGCCGUAAACGAUGAGUGCUAGGUGUUGGGGGGUACCACCCUCAGUGCCGAAAGCUAACGCAUUAAGCACUCCGCUGGGAGUACGUCGCAGAA
RNAcentral lists this ribosomal RNA (468 nucleotides) under Paenalicyclobacillus pomorum. RNAcentral describes it as "bacterial SSU rRNA". It matches the Rfam family "Bacterial small subunit ribosomal RNA", at positions 430 to 873 of the family's 1533-position model. Lineage: Bacteria; Bacillati; Bacillota; Bacilli; Caryophanales; Alicyclobacillaceae. The record is from RNAcentral.